This 492-nucleotide ribosomal RNA is filed under the name uncultured bacterium. RNAcentral describes it as "partial 16S ribosomal RNA". It matches the Rfam family "Bacterial small subunit ribosomal RNA", at positions 29 to 507 of the family's 1533-position model. The record is from RNAcentral.
AGUGAACGCUGGCGGUAGGCCUAACACAUGCAAGUCGAACGGCAGCACAGUAAGAGCUUGCUCUUACGGGUGGCGAGUGGCGGACGGGUGAGGAAUACAUCGGAAUCUACUUUUUCGUGGAGGAUAACGUAGGGAAACUUACGCUAAUACCGCAUACGACCUACGGGUGAAAGCAGGGGAUCUUCGGACCUUGCGCGAUUGAAUGAGCCGAUGUCGGAUUAGCUAGUUGGCGGGGUAAAGGCCCACCAAGGCGACGAUCCGUAGCUGGUCUGAGAGGAUGAUCAGCCACACUGGAACUUAGACACGGUCCAUACUCCUACGGGAGGGAGCAGUGGGGAAUAUUGGACAAUGGGCGCAAGCCUGAUCCAGCCAUACCGCGUGGGUGAAGAAGGCCUUCGGGUUGUAAAGCCCUUUUGUUGGGAAAGAAAAGCAGCAGGUUAAUACCCCGCUGUUCUGACGGUACCCAAAGAAUAAGCACCGGCUAACUUCGUG